RNAcentral lists this unclassified non-coding RNA (273 nucleotides) under Hermetia illucens (black soldier fly). RNAcentral's name for it is "uncharacterized LOC119646444, transcript variant X2". Lineage: Eukaryota; Metazoa; Arthropoda; Insecta; Diptera; Stratiomyidae. The record is from RNAcentral.
UGGCUUGUUAAAGAUUAUUCGGAUUUUGCAUCAGGAAAAACUAUAUUGAAUAAUACAAUCAAAUUUUAUCAAAACAGUUUUUUUCUGUGUCAACCUGCGAGAGGAGAGAUACUACACACUAAGAUUGUAGAAAUAAGCGGAAAAAUGUAUCUUCAGUUAUAAUUGAACACUAUUCGUGGAGUGUGAAAUUUGCAUACGAUCCAGGCUCACAUAUUGAAAUCCAGCGCGAGAAUCUCACGGAUAGCCCCAAGUAACAACAUUUUUUUCAUUAUU